UACGUAGGGUGCAAGCGUUGUCCGGAAUUAUUGGGCGUAAAGAGCUCGUAGGUGGUGUGUCGCGUCUGCCGGUGAAAGCCCGGGGCUUAACUCCGGGUCUGCGGUGGAUACGGGGCAGACUAGAGGCAGGUAGGGGAGAACGGAAUUCCCGGUGUAGCGGUGAAAUGCGCAGAGUAUCGGGAGGAACACCGGUGGCGAAGGCGGUUCUCUGGGCCUGGUACUGACGCUGAGGAGCGAAAGCGUGGGGAGCGAACAGG
Molecule: ribosomal RNA, 257 nt
Filed under: uncultured bacterium
Lineage: Bacteria
Description: partial 16S ribosomal RNA
Rfam family: Bacterial small subunit ribosomal RNA
Source: RNAcentral